AGUGAACGCUGGCGGUAGGCCUAACACAUGCAAGUCGAACGGCAGCACAGUAAGAGCUUGCUCUUACGGGUGGCGAGUGGCGGACGGGUGAGGAAUACAUCGGAAUCUACUUUUUCGUGGGGGAUAACGUAGGGAAACUUACGCUAAUACCGCAUACGACCUACGGGUGAAAGCAGGGGAUCUUCGGACCUUGCGCGAUUGAAUGAGCCGAUGUCGGAUUAGCUGGUUGGCGGGGUAAAGGCCCACCAAGGCGACGAUCCGUAGCUGGUCUGAGAGGAUGAUCAACCACACUGGAACUGAGACACGGUCCAGACUCCUACGGGAGGCAGCAGUGGGGAAUAUUGGACAAAGGGCGCAAGCCUGAUCCAGCCAUACCGCGUGGGUGAAGAAGGCCUUCGGGUUGUAAAGCCCUUUUGUUGGGAAAGAAAAGCAGCAGGUUAAUACCCCGCUGUUCUGACGGUACCCAAAGAAUAAGCACCGGCUAACUUCGUG
This 492-nucleotide ribosomal RNA is filed under the name uncultured bacterium. Its description in RNAcentral is "partial 16S ribosomal RNA". It matches the Rfam family "Bacterial small subunit ribosomal RNA", at positions 29 to 507 of the family's 1533-position model. The record is from RNAcentral.